CGAGACCCUGACCGAGCAACGCCGCGUGAGUGAAGAAGGUUUUCGGAUCGUAAAGCUCUGUUGUAAGUCAAGAACGAGUGUGAGAGUGGAAAGUUCACACUGUGACGGUAGCUUACCAGAAAGGGACGGCUAACUACGUGCCAGCAGCCGCGGUAAUACGUAGGUCCCGAGCGUUGUCCGGAUUUAUUGGGCGUAAAGCGAGCGCAGGCGGUUUGAUAAGUCUGAAGUUAAAGGCUGUGGCUCAACCAUAGUUCGCUUUGGAAACUGUCAAACUUGAGUGCAGAAGGGGAGAGUGGAAUUCCAUGUGUAGCGGUGAAAUGCGUAGAUAUAUGGAGGAACACCGGUGGCGAAAGCGGCUCUCUGGUCUGUAACUGACGCUGAGGCUCGAAAGCGUGGGGAGCGAACAGGAUUAGAUACCCUGGUAGUCCACGCCGUAAACGAUGAGUGCUAGGUGUUGGAUCCUUUCCGGGAUUCAGUGCCGCAGCUAACGCAUUAAGCACUCCGCCUGGGGAGUACGACCGCAAGGUUGAAACUCAAAGGAAUUGACGGGGGCCCGCACAAGA
This 563-nucleotide ribosomal RNA is filed under the name Streptococcus sp. RNAcentral describes it as "bacterial SSU rRNA". It matches the Rfam family "Bacterial small subunit ribosomal RNA", at positions 376 to 930 of the family's 1533-position model. Lineage: Bacteria; Bacillati; Bacillota; Bacilli; Lactobacillales; Streptococcaceae. The record is from RNAcentral.